UGGCACCUAUAACUAGCAAUCCAUGAUAACAUACUUUGACUCCCAGUGAGGCUAUCCAUAAUGUUUUGCUUUAAUUUGUGACCAGCAAUUCAUAAUAUCAUGAUUAGUUCAUAUAUCUCUAAUUACUCAACUAUCCAAUUAUCUAAAAUUCACAUUUAUACUUGCCAAAUAAAAUAUAAUUUAAUAUUGUAUUCCACAUG
RNAcentral lists this long non-coding RNA (200 nucleotides) under Elaeis guineensis (African oil palm). Its description in RNAcentral is "long non-coding RNA (EGUI_LNC023748)". The record is from RNAcentral. Lineage: Eukaryota; Viridiplantae; Streptophyta; Magnoliopsida; Arecales; Arecaceae.